CAAGCCUGAUCCAGCCAUGCCGCGUGGGUGAAGAAGGCCUUCGGGUUGUAAAGCCCUUUUGUUGGGAAAGAAAAGCAGCCGGCCAAUACCCGGUUGUUCUGACGGUACCCGGAGAAGAAGCCCCGGCUAACUUCGUGCCAGCAGCCGCGGUAAUACGAAGGGGGCUAGCGUUGCUCGGAAUUACUGGGCGUAAAGGGCGCGUAGGCGGACUGUUUAGUCAGAGGUGAAAGCCCAGGGCUCAACCUUGGAAUUGCCUUUGAUACUGGCAGUCUUGAGUACGGAAGAGGUGUGUGGAACUCCGAGUGUAGAGGUGAAAUUCGUAGAUAUUCGGAAGAACACCAGUGGCGAAGGCGACACACUGGUCCGUUACUGACGCUGAGGCGCGAAAGCGUGGGGAGCAAACA
RNAcentral lists this ribosomal RNA (404 nucleotides) under uncultured Caulobacter sp. Its description in RNAcentral is "bacterial SSU rRNA". It matches the Rfam family "Bacterial small subunit ribosomal RNA", at positions 378 to 774 of the family's 1533-position model. Lineage: Bacteria; Pseudomonadati; Pseudomonadota; Alphaproteobacteria; Caulobacterales; Caulobacteraceae. The record is from RNAcentral.